GGAACACGUGAGCAACCUGCCUUGAGUGGGAAACCGAUUGGAACGAUGGCUAAUACCGGAUGUGGCGCCUGGGGACCAUCCCCGGAGCGCUAAAGGGGCGACCCGCAAGGGGCUCCCGCUCAUUGAAGGGCUCGCGCACCAUCAGCUUGUUGGCGGGUAACGGCCCACCAAGGCUUACGGUUAGCUGGUCUGAGAGGAUGACCAGCCCCACUGGGACUGAGAUACUGCCCAGACUCCUACGGGAGGCUGCAGUCGAGGAUCAUUUGCAAUGGGCGAAAGCCUGACAAUGCGACGCUGCGUGGAGGAAUGAAGGCCUUCGGGUUGUAAACUCCUGUCAUAAGGGAACAGGCGAUCCUACCUAAUACGUAGGAAAGUUGAGUGUACUUUAAGAGGAAGGGACGGCUAACUCUGUGCCAGCAGCAGC
RNAcentral lists this ribosomal RNA (424 nucleotides) under uncultured bacterium. Its description in RNAcentral is "bacterial SSU rRNA". It matches the Rfam family "Bacterial small subunit ribosomal RNA", at positions 110 to 518 of the family's 1533-position model. The record is from RNAcentral.